GAAUGCGGUAGCUGUGUCCCCGGCCUGCAACGAGGGCAUAUCAUGUAACUCCUCCCGGCUUCAUUCCUAUGCAGGACAGGUGGAAUCAGAGGUUUCUGGCUGACUCGGUGG
This 111-nucleotide long non-coding RNA is filed under the name Homo sapiens (human). RNAcentral describes it as "long intergenic non-protein coding RNA 511". Lineage: Eukaryota; Metazoa; Chordata; Mammalia; Primates; Hominidae. The record is from RNAcentral.